This 245-nucleotide ribosomal RNA is filed under the name uncultured bacterium. Its description in RNAcentral is "partial 16S ribosomal RNA". It matches the Rfam family "Bacterial small subunit ribosomal RNA", at positions 524 to 768 of the family's 1533-position model. The record is from RNAcentral.
GACAGAGGGGGCAAGCGUUGCUCGGAAUUACUGGGCGUAAAGGGCGCGUAGGCGGGAUGGCAAGUCGGUCGUGAAAUCCUUCGGCUCAACCGAAGAACGUCGAUCGAUACUGCUGUUCUAGAGGGUUGCAGAGGAGACUGGAAUUCCCGGUGUAGCGGUGAAAUGUGUAGAGAUCGGGAGGAACACCGGUGGCGAAGGCGGGUCUCUGGGCAACUCCUGACGCUGAGGCGCGAAAGCGUGGGGAG